Molecule: transfer RNA, 87 nt
Filed under: Clostridia bacterium
Lineage: Bacteria; Bacillati; Bacillota; Clostridia
Description: tRNA-Leu
Rfam family: tRNA
About the family: Transfer RNA (tRNA) molecules are approximately 80 nucleotides in length. Their secondary structure includes four short double-helical elements and three loops (D, anti-codon, and T loops). Further hydrogen bonds mediate the characteristic L-shaped molecular structure. tRNAs have two regions of fundamental functional importance: the anti-codon, which is responsible for specific mRNA codon recognition, and the 3' end, to which the tRNAs corresponding amino acid is attached (by aminoacyl-tRNA synthetases). tRNAs cope with the degeneracy of the genetic code in two manners: having more than one tRNA (with a specific anti-codon) for a particular amino acid; and 'wobble' base-pairing, i.e. permitting non-standard base-pairing at the 3rd anti-codon position.
Source: RNAcentral
GCGGGUAUGGUGGAAUAGGCAGACACAAGGGACUUAAAAUCCCUCGGUGCAAUAUCCGUGCCGGUUCAAGUCCGGCUACCCGCACCA